UUGGUUUGGGGUGUUUUUUCUCAAGGAUUGAGAGCAGCCUGGCAUUAAAUAUACUUGGGAAUUUGAACGAAACCCAGUUCUUAAGCUGGGUUUGGAGUCAAGAAGUUUGUCAGAUCUAUCUUGGCAAGGCCUUACUUAGGCCAUGUACUGCCACCUUUAAACCAGCACCCAAUAUUAAUUCAGAUUUAUUUUUAAAACUGGCAAGAGGUGAAGGAAGCUGAAGAACAAUUUCCAUUUAGUUACUAUGGAACAAAGUAACUAAACUAAAUAGUAACUAAACUAAUAAACUAAACUAAAGUUUUUUUGGAUCAGGAGCAUUAGAGGGUCACAGAGCUGGCAGCAAUUUCCAUGUAUGAAAGGGGAGGGUUUCACUUUCCUACUUUAUCAUAAACAGGGUCAAAAAAAAGAGUGGAUGGAGCUCAGUUUCUGGUCCUGUGCUUCGGGAGUCUGAGCCUGGUUAUUUGUAUGGUGAAGCUACUGCCAAACUGAGGAAGAGUAGAACAAUUAGCAUUAUGGUUCCAGUCCUUUUUUGUAGCCAGGAUCACAGGAGGCCUGAGCAGCCUGUGCCACCUGCACCUUGGAGCUGCUCUGUGCUGGAGCUGGAGACUGGCCUGGUUUGCUGUCUUGGAAAAGUCAGUUUUGUUUUUGGUGGAUCCCUGUCAAAGGCUGAGGAAACGUCUGCUACUGGGAAAACAAACCCUGAUGGAUUAACAAGCUACUUCUCUAGGGGACAAAGGCAAAGAUCUCACACCAAGAGAGGCUGGGCUGAAGUGAGCAGAGCAGCUCCUGGGACCCAGCUGCAGGAGAAGCAGAAGCAGCUGGGACUGCAGGGGCAGGAGCUCGGACACUGCCCUGGUCAGCAGGAGCCUGAGCAUCAACGCAGUUCUGUUGGCAGAAAUACGCUUCUUUACCAGGAUUACAGAAUUCCUUCCAGGAGAUUUCCCUCACUGCCGUGGUUUCACAAGAUCCAGGAGUGCUCAUUGUCAGUGGUGCUGCACUGUGGAAAGCUGACAUGUGGGAAGCUCCUUGCUGAUUCCAGGUGUCUGAAUAAUAUUCUGUGGAAUUAUGGCCCCAGUCCUGCAAGGAGGUCUGCAUGGAUAAAACCAGGGGCCACAUCACUAAAUUGGAAGGAUUUUCACAUUCCUCUCAUUGAAAAGAGGUUCACACUUUAUAGCAAUAGUAACAAGUCCCAUUGCUGAGGAUGAAGUCUGUAAGGGUCAUCACUUGCCAUGUCUGAUUCAACAAUACUGCUUUCCCUUCAGUAUUUUCUGAUAAACAGGACCUAUAUCAGAGAUUAAUAUUUCUACUUGUGUCUUAAUUAUGAAAGUGAAUCUGAAGAGUUUAUACUUCCUUACCAGUAUGUGCUUGUUUAACUACUGCUUGGUCAAGAAAAAUAUAUAUUUUAUAUAUUA
Passer montanus (Eurasian tree sparrow) is the source of this 1412-nucleotide long non-coding RNA. RefSeq lists it as uncharacterized. The transcript is spliced from 3 exons. Lineage: Eukaryota; Metazoa; Chordata; Aves; Passeriformes; Passeridae. The record is from RefSeq and is a predicted model, not a curated record.